ACAUGGAAAUAGGAGAAAAACAAUCAGGAUAAAGGUAUUUCAAAGAUAUACUUCUAGAAUACAAAAUAGAGUAACAUCCUUUAAACUAUACUUUGCAUUUAUGACCAACUAAAGCAUCAACAUUUGGCAGUAAAUGAAACAGAUUAGAUACUAAUGAUAGCAGUUAACAUGUACAAUUAUUUUUAAUGUUUUAUUUACACAUUUAUUUUUCCAUUGGUAAUAGUAAUACAAUACGUGCAAUACAGAAAAACAAACCUGUAUGUUACCCCUGCCCUGGGUUCUAACUAUCUUUCCAGGGGCCACCACUGUUGUCAGUCCUUGUUCAUGCUUUCAAAGAUGGUCUCAAAGAUAUUUCAGAUAUGGAAGAUCCUGUUGGUUCUAUAGGAUUACCUAAUCCACAAUGGUAAGUAGAUCAAUAUACUGUAUCAGAUACUUCAAAGAGUUUGUUCAGCAGGGCCACUAAUUUACAUGAGAAUUGCUUGAUAUUACUCUAAUAAGAGUAAU
RNAcentral lists this long non-coding RNA (504 nucleotides) under Bos grunniens (domestic yak). Its description in RNAcentral is "lncRNA (ENSBGRG00000026219.1)". The record is from RNAcentral. Lineage: Eukaryota; Metazoa; Chordata; Mammalia; Artiodactyla; Bovidae.